This 465-nucleotide ribosomal RNA is filed under the name uncultured bacterium. Its description in RNAcentral is "partial 16S ribosomal RNA". It matches the Rfam family "Bacterial small subunit ribosomal RNA", at positions 28 to 507 of the family's 1533-position model. The record is from RNAcentral.
GACGAACGCUGGCGGCGUGCUUAACACAUGCAAGUCGAACGGAAAGGCCCCUUUGGGGGUACUCGAGUGGCGAACGGGUGAGUAACACGUGAGUAACCUGCCCUUGACUUCGGGAUAACUUCAGGAAACUGGGGCUAAUACCGGAUAGGAAUCCUUGCUGCAUGGUGGGGGUUGGAAAGCUUCGGCGGUUUUGGAUGGACUCGCGGCUUAUCAGCUUGUUGGUGGGGUAGUGGCUUACCAAGGCUUUGACGGGUAGCCGGCCUGAGAGGGCGACCGGCCACAUUGGGACUGAGGGGCGGCCCAGGCUGCGACGGGAGGGAGCAGGGGGGAAGAUUGCAGGAGGGGCGGAGGCCUGAUGCAGAAGCGCCGCGGGCGGGAUGACGGCCUUCUGGGUGUAGACCGCUUUCAGCAGGAGCGAAGCUUGUGGUGACGGUACCUGAAGAAGAAGCACCGGCUAACUACGUG